This 955-nucleotide long non-coding RNA is filed under the name Cyanistes caeruleus (blue tit). RNAcentral's name for it is "lncRNA (ENSCCEG00000004869.1)". The record is from RNAcentral. Lineage: Eukaryota; Metazoa; Chordata; Aves; Passeriformes; Paridae.
GCCCCCUCCCCAAAUAUCGGGGGGUGGGGUCCCCGUGUGCCUUCAGCGCAGGGUGGGGACAGCGGUGGGGGCUUGGGGACACCCCCCACUGCCCGGGCAGCGCUUGGGGACCCCUCCCCAGGGUUUGGGGGCUCCUGGGGACCCCUCCCCAGGGUUUGGGGGCUGCUUGGGGACCCCUCCCCAGGUUUUGGGGGCUCCUGGGGAUGUCUCCCGGUGUUUGGGGACCCCUCCCCAGUGCCCAGGACCCCCUUGGGGACCCCCCCAUGCCCCCCAGGGGGGUCUCAGCACAGCUCAGGGGCCCAGAGCAGGGUGGGGGGCACUUUGGGGUGUCCCCCAGUCACUUUGGGGUGUCCCCCCGGGCACUUUGGGGUGUCUCCCCGGCAUUUUGGGGUGUCCCCCAUCACUUUGGGGUGUCCCCCCGGCAUUUUGGGGUGUCCCCGGUCGUUUUGGGGUGUCCCCCCGGCUCUUUGGGGUGUCCCCCGGGCAUUUUGGGGUGUCCCCUCAGGUCACUUUGGGGUGUCCCCGGUCACUUUGGGGUGUCCCCCCAUCACUUUGGGGUGUCCCCCCGGCUCUUUGGGGUGUCCCCGGUCGUUUUGGGGUGUCCCCCGGGCAUUUUGGGGUGUCCCCCCGAGCCCAAAGCUUUCCUAUCAUUUUCUAAUUAAAGCCUUUGCCAUUCCAGCCUCGCCGCUCCUUUGGGUUUUGGGGGGUCCGGCAGAAGCUCAUUUAUUGUGGAGCCCCAGCGCGGGGUCUGGGGGUCCCGGGGGGUCCCGGGGGUGUCCCAGGGGGUCCCGGGGGUCCCGGGGGUCACCAGCAGAGCUGCCCCGGGCAGUAUUUAUCGAUGAGGCCCUGGUAGUAACCUCGGAGUUGCUGCACAUCGGGCAGCUCCUCCUGCUUGGUGUACAGGUCAAACUUGCUGCGGGGACAAACAGGGGGGGGUCAGGGCACCCCAAAACCU